Molecule: ribosomal RNA, 415 nt
Filed under: uncultured Sarcina sp.
Lineage: Bacteria; Bacillati; Bacillota; Clostridia; Eubacteriales; Clostridiaceae
Description: bacterial SSU rRNA
Rfam family: Bacterial small subunit ribosomal RNA
Source: RNAcentral
UGGGGAAUAUUGCACAAUGGGGGAAACCCUGAUGCAGCAACGCCGCGUGAGUGAUGAAGGUCUUCGGAUUGUAAAGCUCUGUCUUUAGGGACGAUAAUGACGGUACCUAAGGAGGAAGCCACGGCUAACUACGUGCCAGCAGCCGCGGUAAUACGUAGGUGGCAAGCGUUAUCCGGAUUUACUGGGCGUAAAGGGAGCGUAGGCGGAUAUUUAAGUGGGAUGUGAAAUACCCGAGCUUAACUUGGGAGCUGCAUUCCAAACUGGAUAUCUAGAGUGCAGGAGAGGAGAAUGGAACUCCUAGUGUAGCGGUGAAAUGCGUAGAUAUUCGGAGGAACACCAGUGGCGAAGGCGGCCUGCUGGGCUCUAACUGACGCUGAGGCUCGAAAGUGUGGGGAGCAAACAGGAUUAGAUACCC